This is a non-coding RNA of Ciona intestinalis (vase tunicate), 403 nucleotides long. The record is from RefSeq and is a predicted model, not a curated record. NCBI's taxonomy places the organism in Eukaryota, Metazoa, Chordata, Ascidiacea, Phlebobranchia, Cionidae.
CCAUGAAGCAUACUCACGGGAUGUUUUGUGAUUUGUUCCGUGAGAAGCAACAGAAUCCGUGAGUUGAUGAUAUUUCCAAUCACCCUGCGUCAUUAUUAAACAUAAGAUGGUCAUCAGGAACCGUUUUCAUUAUUUCACCGUAAACCUCCGUUAAUUCUUCACCAUGGAAUAAAUUAGAGUCGAGUUCCUUCACUAUACUUGGGGAGAUUUCACCUGCAAGAAACAUAAACCAACAUGGAGGACCUCAAUCAAUGGACGAAUUAUGUCAGAGGUAACAACAAAUCAUUGAGUGGAGUAAGAUGGCCAGUGAGUUAGAUCAUUAUACAACGGACCGCAUGUUGUCAAUGUAAUAGUCGGUAGCUCAACUUUAUCUGAUACUUGUUCAUUGGAUGUUCUAACAAUA